Molecule: non-coding RNA, 106 nt
Filed under: Trichomonas vaginalis G3
Lineage: Eukaryota; Parabasalia; Trichomonadida; Trichomonadidae
Description: Eukaryotic small subunit ribosomal RNA
Rfam family: Eukaryotic small subunit ribosomal RNA
Source: Rfam by way of RNAcentral
AAUCCACCGGAUGCUUACGAGCAGAAAAGGGAUUAAAUCACGUUAUCUAGAGGAAAGGAGAAGUUGUAACAAAGUAACGGUAGGUGAACCUCCCGUUGGAUCAGUU